UGCCCGCUCGGGCCCGGGCUGCUGCCCAUUCGGGGACGCGGCGGCCUUUCCCUGCCCCAGAUGUAAAUGGGCCUCGCUGCAUUGAGGUGGAGUGGUUAACUUGGAGCUCUUUGCUGGUUGGGUUAAAUACUUUGGAAAAUUCCUUCUCUUUGAGGUGAAAGGACGGGUGAGGGGAGCCCGAAUGGAGAAAACUUGGCCCUUAGUAUUUUCCCGCCAGCAUCUCUGUCAUAUUUCCCUCGUCAGAUUGGUAAGAGGAAAAGACUGAGUCUGCAUGUAUAUCAUCUCAACCCUUACAACUACACUUAAAACAGUAAUGUCUAUUUAAGAGCCAUUUCCAAGUUAGCUUUUAACUGCUAUGGACAGCUCUCAAACUGGUCAAACAACUUCUAGAUCAGUGGAAAAAAAUAUUCGCAGACCUUUCUGGUUUCAGGAUCACCAAUGAGAAGUAACCCAAAUUACAAUAUCUCAAUCCAGUUUUUCUAAUGAUUAAAAAUAGUAUCACUAAUUUUGCUAGUCCUCAUUUCAACUUUUUUAAGAAAGAUAUUUAACCACGAAUCAAAGAUUUCUGAAAGUUAGUAGACUUCUUUAUUAAAAUAUAAAUUCAGGGUCCAAAGCUUAUUUUUACCUUUUUUCUUCCCUGCCCUUAACUCUUAUGGCUUUCUAGCAUAAUAGGCAGUGCAUAAGUAAGUGAUGAAUAAAGGAAUAUCUCUAUAUACUAGUAGAACCAACUCAGGGCCA
Molecule: long non-coding RNA, 738 nt
Filed under: Fukomys damarensis (Damara mole-rat)
Lineage: Eukaryota; Metazoa; Chordata; Mammalia; Rodentia; Bathyergidae
Description: lncRNA (ENSFDAG00000029193.1)
Source: RNAcentral